This 1547-nucleotide ribosomal RNA is filed under the name Salmonella enterica subsp. enterica serovar Poona. RNAcentral describes it as "bacterial SSU rRNA". It matches the Rfam family "Bacterial small subunit ribosomal RNA". Lineage: Bacteria; Pseudomonadati; Pseudomonadota; Gammaproteobacteria; Enterobacterales; Enterobacteriaceae. The record is from RNAcentral.
UUAAAUUGAAGAGUUUGAUCAUGGCUCAGAUUGAACGCUGGCGGCAGGCCUAACACAUGCAAGUCGAACGGUAACAGGAAGCAGCUUGCUGCUUUGCUGACGAGUGGCGAACGGGUGAGUAAUGUCUGGGAAACUGCCUGAUGGAGGGGGAUAACUACUGGAAACGGUGGCUAAUACCGCAUAACGUCGCAAGACCAAAGAGGGGGACCUUCGGGCCUCUUGCCAUCAGAUGUGCCCAGAUGGGAUUAGCUUGUUGGUGAGGUAACGGCUCACCAAGGCGACGAUCCCUAGCUGGUCUGAGAGGAUGACCAGCCACACUGGAACUGAGACACGGUCCAGACUCCUACGGGAGGCAGCAGUGGGGAAUAUUGCACAAUGGGCGCAAGCCUGAUGCAGCCAUGCCGCGUGUAUGAAGAAGGCCUUCGGGUUGUAAAGUACUUUCAGCGGGGAGGAAGGUGUUGUGGUUAAUAACCGCAGCAAUUGACGUUACCCGCAGAAGAAGCACCGGCUAACUCCGUGCCAGCAGCCGCGGUAAUACGGAGGGUGCAAGCGUUAAUCGGAAUUACUGGGCGUAAAGCGCACGCAGGCGGUCUGUCAAGUCGGAUGUGAAAUCCCCGGGCUCAACCUGGGAACUGCAUUCGAAACUGGCAGGCUUGAGUCUUGUAGAGGGGGGUAGAAUUCCAGGUGUAGCGGUGAAAUGCGUAGAGAUCUGGAGGAAUACCGGUGGCGAAGGCGGCCCCCUGGACAAAGACUGACGCUCAGGUGCGAAAGCGUGGGGAGCAAACAGGAUUAGAUACCCUGGUAGUCCACGCCGUAAACGAUGUCUACUUGGAGGUUGUGCCCUUGAGGCGUGGCUUCCGGAGCUAACGCGUUAAGUAGACCGCCUGGGGAGUACGGCCGCAAGGUUAAAACUCAAAUGAAUUGACGGGGGCCCGCACAAGCGGUGGAGCAUGUGGUUUAAUUCGAUGCAACGCGAAGAACCUUACCUGGUCUUGACAUCCACAGAACUUUCCAGAGAUGGAUUGGUGCCUUCGGGAACUGUGAGACAGGUGCUGCAUGGCUGUCGUCAGCUCGUGUUGUGAAAUGUUGGGUUAAGUCCCGCAACGAGCGCAACCCUUAUCCUUUGUUGCCAGCGGUCCGGCCGGGAACUCAAAGGAGACUGCCAGUGAUAAACUGGAGGAAGGUGGGGAUGACGUCAAGUCAUCAUGGCCCUUACGACCAGGGCUACACACGUGCUACAAUGGCGCAUACAAAGAGAAGCGACCUCGCGAGAGCAAGCGGACCUCAUAAAGUGCGUCGUAGUCCGGAUUGGAGUCUGCAACUCGACUCCAUGAAGUCGGAAUCGCUAGUAAUCGUGGAUCAGAAUGCCACGGUGAAUACGUUCCCGGGCCUUGUACACACCGCCCGUCACACCAUGGGAGUGGGUUGCAAAAGAAGUAGGUAGCUUAACCUUCGGGAGGGCGCUUACCACUUUGUGAUUCAUGACUGGGGUGAAGUCGUAACAAGGUAACCGUAGGGGAACCUGCGGUUGGAUCACCUCCUUACCU